GGAAUGUGGCUUAGUGGUAGAGUGCUUGCCUAGCAUGCAUGAGGCCCUGGGUUCAACACCCAGCACCA
Molecule: transfer RNA, 68 nt
Filed under: Marmota monax (woodchuck)
Lineage: Eukaryota; Metazoa; Chordata; Mammalia; Rodentia; Sciuridae
Description: tRNA.Ala
Rfam family: tRNA (bases 5-65)
About the family: Transfer RNA (tRNA) molecules are approximately 80 nucleotides in length. Their secondary structure includes four short double-helical elements and three loops (D, anti-codon, and T loops).
Source: RNAcentral